This 207-nucleotide ribosomal RNA is filed under the name uncultured bacterium. RNAcentral's name for it is "partial 16S ribosomal RNA". It matches the Rfam family "Bacterial small subunit ribosomal RNA", at positions 568 to 774 of the family's 1533-position model. The record is from RNAcentral.
CGCGUAGGCGGGUGCUCAAGUCCGGGGUGAAAUCCUCCAGCUCAACUGGAGAACUGCCUCGGAUACUGGGUGUCUCGAGGGUGGUAGGGGUAUGCGGAACUAUCGGUGGAGCGGUGAAAUGCGUUGAUAUCGAUAGGAACUCCGGUGGCGAAGGCGGUAUACUGGACCACCUCUGACGCUGAGGCGCGAAAGCCAGGGGAGCAAACG